AAAUAAUCCUUUUAUUUAUGAAUUCACUCUAUAGAGUGCAUGUACACUAGAUUAGAUAGAGGUGAUCAGAAGUGUGUGAUCUUGACACCCAAAUGCUUCUGUGCAAAAUCUACAAGGUUGUUGAGUUCAUCCUCAUCAAUGAAGCCAUUGCGGUCCACGUCUGCAGACCGUAACCCAAGCCUGCUCUUGAACAUGGCGAAGCGUCCUCCAGUGGCGCGGAUAGCCUGGCGGAGUUCUUCUUUGCUGAUACGGCCAUCUUUGUCCGUAUCAAAUUUCUUCAGCCACUGUUUCAACUCCUCGGUUGUCAUAACACGCUUGCCAUCGCUGGUGAUGCAUCGACUUUUAAUCGCCAUAUUAUGAUAACCUUUUUUUGUUUGUGAAAGCCUGAAAAUCUUCUACUUCUCAUUCAUCGAUUUAUAACCUGUCCUUGUAUUCACUCUCACUCUUUCUUCUUAGUUUAGUCUUUUUUAAUUACGG
This 477-nucleotide long non-coding RNA is filed under the name Prunus dulcis (almond). Its description in RNAcentral is "sRNA ncRNA". The record is from RNAcentral. Lineage: Eukaryota; Viridiplantae; Streptophyta; Magnoliopsida; Rosales; Rosaceae.